UGUACAUUUCCUGUAUAGAUUUUGUAACAGAACCUUUACACUAAACUUGCAGAAGGAGAGCCAGCAUCCAGAACAUUUUCAGGCUCUUCUGGAUCACCACAGGACCAUGAUCCACUUUUUCAUGAUGACUGGCAAGAACUUUUAGCAGAGAGGAAGCUAAGUAUCUCAGCACUCACCAGAGAUGAGAUCAGCCAGAGCUGUGAAACUUCACGUCACAUACAAGAUGUAAACCACAGUGAUGUAGACCCCGUGCUGUCAGAAGACCUCCUAACGAAGGAGCUGAGCUGCAGUGCCACCUCCCUGCGAUCAGCUGUGUUCCAGAGGUCUCCUACACCUUGUCACGCAGAGCUGGUCAAAAACUCAGUCGUCAUAUGCACAGCCCCAUCUCCGCCUGACCAAGUCAUCGUAAUUCAUUCAGAAACUCUUCCUGAUACCAUAAUAUUCCACACUAUAGGAGCAGUCUCCUCUGAAUCAUCAAGUGGGUCUAGCUCGGCCUUUAGACCUCCCACUUCAGACCAGGACCAUGUUAGGGAAUCCUGUGAUGCAGGUGCUUUUGCUGAUGUGGUGAUAUAUAACAAAGUACCAUCGGUUGGGGAUCUCCCUUACCCUCUGUCCAUCUCCGAAGAUCUCUCCUCCCCAGCCAUUGGUUUGGAUUUGGACCAAGCUGAAGCUGCUCAAAAUGAGAUCAGCGAAACGGACCCGUCAGCAAAAGUAAUACCCUGCAUGCUCAGCACAAAGAUUCAGAAGGAAGUUACUGAAGUUGUAAGCGAGACAAGGGUGAAGUGGAAAUCUGCAACAGCCUCUCCAAAAAUAUCCUUUACUACAGUUCAUAAACAGGUGUCGGACACUGCAGUAAUGAAGCUGCUGAGACCUUGUAUGCUAGGGUUGUCUGAUGACUCUGGUGUGGACAGUUACGUAAGGGUUACUGAAGUGGUGACAGAAACUUCAGAAAAAGAAGCCGAAUCCAGAGUGCCUCAAAACACACCAGUGCCUGCAGGUGAAUCCACUGUAUGAAAGGCAGGAAGAACAU
Pygocentrus nattereri (red-bellied piranha) is the source of this 1030-nucleotide long non-coding RNA. The record is from Ensembl. NCBI's taxonomy places the organism in Eukaryota, Metazoa, Chordata, Actinopteri, Characiformes, Serrasalmidae.